Molecule: long non-coding RNA, 10377 nt
Filed under: Capsicum annuum
Lineage: Eukaryota; Viridiplantae; Streptophyta; Magnoliopsida; Solanales; Solanaceae
Description: long non-coding RNA (CANN_LNC011513)
Source: RNAcentral
UACAAGAUGGUGGAAGCUCAAUGACAAAUUUGCAGAUUUCUAUUGUGCCAGAAAACACAAGUUUGGCAGAUUUAUUAGCAUUGUUACUGUUCAAGGAGAGAACAGAUCAGUUAUUAUAAUACCAGAAUUUGCAUUAAUUAAGGGGUGGGGGUACAUAGCAUUAAAGGUAGAUAGCUCCAUUAAAAAUCAAAAGGAAGUCCCUAGUACAAGUUCAAGCAGAUCUAGAAGAACAGACUCAAAAACCCUUUAUGCCGACACAAUCAGAACCAACAAGUGGCAAUCAAAGGCAACAUCUGAUGCAAAAAUAUGUCAAAGCAGGGGAGACAUGGUAAUAAAUGAUGCUGAUGCAGAAGCUCAAAAAGGUCUACUUGGAAGGUGCAUUGUUGGGACCUUUGCUGCAAGGAUGAAGGAGAUACCCACUCUUGCAGAUAUUAGAAGAUGGGCCACCUUUACAUGAACAAGGCUUUUGGGGUCAACAUUUAUGAGAUGAAUGGAAACUCUUUCCUCUUCGAGUUCCCUAAUAAGCACAUGGCAGAACAAAUUCUUCAUGGAGAGUGGACUUGGAAGCAUCUGAAGUUGUAUCUCCAAUGAUGGUCACCGACAGUGGGAUGUUGUUCGCAACGAAAGAACUCAACUUGGAUUAGAGCUAUGGGCUCCUGUUACAUAUCUGGACAGAAAGUGCAUUCAAAGCUAUUGGUGAACAAUGUGGUGGAUGGCUAGAAACUGAAGAAGAAACCUCCCUAUAGAAUCAACUGAAGUGGGCAAGGGUGAGAGUCAAAGGUGAUGGGGAAAACAUACCGAAAGAUGUCAAGCUAUUGGAUAAAGUUCUUACCUUUAUUAUUCCGAUCUAGCUGGGAAUUCAGACCUUGGUGGUGAUCGAAGAGCCGAAGAAGUCACUGGAUAAUCACCCGUGGAUAACUAUAAAUCAUGGAGGAAGAAAUAGCAACUCCGGCAAGGUGAAGAAGACGAAAGACAAUGACCGCUGGUUAAUAAAAGAGAACAGAGAAAGAAACAACGGUUUUUAUAAUGGUGAAAAUAGGUAUGGACACGUGGUUUCUACAUCAGAUCCAACAGCUGGCGUGGGCCCAGUUGCAUGUGCACAGGAGGAUAUUUUAAGUAAUGGGCCAAUUUUGGGGCAAAAGGAAAAAAAUAGAUUUCUGUGGGGUUUUUUCCAAUGAUGGCCCAAUUUUUUUUAAUGAGGCCCAUUUACUGGAACUUUCUCUGUCAAAAGAGGCGCUGCCACCCAAGUUAGACCCUAUGCUAACUGAAGGUGAAGAAAACACCACUGAUGGUGAAUUUUUCGACACUUUUACUGGUGAUUUGAAUGCGACCAUAGAAGAGCAAGGUAACACUAUGGUGGAAAUUAAAAAUUCUGCAAAUGAAGAGGAUUUUGCCAAUGCUAUAACAAUUAUAGAUGAAGGAGAAGACAAUGCUGCCAUCAAUGACCUUUAAUCAAACAUGCAAAUAGCGGAUGGUGUUGAAACAACGCCCUGGAAUAUCGAGGAGGUGGUCACAUUGAAUUACCAUGAUGUAGAAGAGGAUAGUGAUGGAGAGAUGGAUGUACCGAUUUGGGUGCAUCAAAAUAUUAUUAAGUUGAGCAACAAAUUUGGAGUGGCUCUCGAUGGAUGUAGGAAGGAAGCUAUAAGUCUAUUCAUGAAAAUAGAUAGUAAGAGGCAAACUAACAUCAAGGAAACAAAAAGACGAAUGGGAAAACAUCAAAAUCAAGGGGAUGCAGAAGUUAAAGGGGCUUACAAUUGACAUGAAUUUUGAAAGAAAAGGGUUUAGAACCAGGGGGAAAGGAAAAGCAGCAGGUGCACGAUGAAUAGGAGGAUUAUCAAUAGUGUGUUUUAGGAGUGGAAGAAGACAGAUGUCAUAUGUCUGUAAGAAACAAAACUUGUAGGGGAAAAUGGGGAAGCAAUUAAACAAGUGUGGAGUAACAGGGGAGUCAAAUAUGGCCAACUGGAGGCCAGUGGCACUAGGGGGGGGGGGCUCUGAUGUUCUGGGAUUGCAAGAUUUGGGAGGGGGAAGUUCUAGAAAUUGGCUCACACACUUUGACUUGCUACUUUAGAUCAAAAGUUAGUGAUUUUGAAUGGCAUAUGAUAGGGGUCUAUGCACCAACGUGCAAUACGAAAAAACAGGAAGGAUGGUGGGAAAUAGGAGCAGUUAGAAGUCUAUUCACUGGACCUUGGGUUCUAGGUGGGGACUUUAAUGUUGUUAGAUAUGCUUCAGAAAAGAAGAAUUGUUCGAGGACUUCUAUCUAUAUGAAUGAUUUUUCUGAUAUGAUUGAGGAUAUGGAGUUGGUUGACCCCCAACUUGAAUGGGGAGUUUAUACCUGGACUAGAGGAAACAACUUGGAAACUGCUUCUAGAAUAGACAGGAUUCUAUAUUCAACUAAAUGGGGGGAAAAUUCAACAACAUCAAGCAGGAAGUGAUGCCAAGAGUAUGCUCAGAUCACGCACUUACCAGUGACAGUUGGAUCUACACGAAAUCUUAUUUCAAAUUCGAAGGGUGGUGGUUGGAGACGGAAGGAUUCAAUGAUAGAGUGAAGAAGUGGUGGACAUCUUUUAGGGACACCUGCUUAUAUACUAGCCUCAAAGUUAAAAGCUUUGAAGAUCAAACUAAAAGAGUGGAGUUCAACCACUUACGGAAAUCUGGGGAAGAAAAAGAAAGAAUUGCUCAACAAGAUUGCAGAUUUCGACAAUAUUCAACAGAGUAGAUCCUUAGCUGAUGAGGAAGUAAUUCAAAAGGCAAAUCUUGUCAAGGAGUUUGAAGACUAUGUUAAAAAGGAAGAGAUAGCUUGGAGGCAGAGAUCAAGGACGUUGUGGAUUAAAUAGGGAGACAAGAACACUAAGUUCUUCCAAAGGAUUGCAAAUGUGCAUAAGAGAGUUAAUCAUAUCGAUAAACUGGCGGUGAAAGGAUUGGAACUAAUAGAGGCUGCAGACAUCACAAGAGAGAUGGUUCUAUUCUAUACGAACCUGUAUAGUGAAAGUGAAGAUUGGAGACCUACUUUCAACAUGAAUUCAUGUCCAGUAAUCAGUAGAGAGGAGCAACAAGACUUAUAGAAACCUUUUGAUGAAGAAAAAGUUUUGCUGGGACUCAAGGCUUGUGCUAUAGACAAGGCACCAGGUUCAGAUGGUUUCACAAUGGGUUUUUUUGUAAAAUGCUGGGAGAUCUUGAAGGGGGAUGUGAUGGAAACUUUUCAAAAUUUCCACUCUCAGGAAGUCUUUGAAAAGAGUUUUAAUGCAACCUAUAUGCACUCAUCCCAAAGAACAAUGGAGCUAAGGAGCUGAGAGACUUCAGACCUAGUUCGAUAGGAAGUGUACAAACUGAUCUCCAAAUUCCUCACAGAAAGACUGAAAAGGGUGAUGCCAAAGCUAGUGGAUAAUCAACAAAUGACUUUUCUGAGAGAAAGACAAAUUACAGAUGCCGUCCUAAUUGCAAAUGAGUGUGUUUAGACUCUAGGUUGAAAGAUAAGAAUCCAGGAUUAAUGUGUAAAUUGGACAUAGAGAAGGUGUAUGAUCAUGUCAAUCGGGAUUACUUGCUUGGAGUUUUGCGCAGUAUAGGUUUCAGGAUGAAAUGGAUUAGACGGAUGAGAUUUUGCAUCAGCAUUGUCAGAUUCUCAGUAUUGAUAAAUGGCUCUCCAGAAGGUUUCUUUUCAGCAAGUAGAGGUCUUCGACAAGGUGAUCCCCUUUCGUCUUUUUUGUUCUUACUAGUCAUGGAAGGUCUAAACGAUAUGCUUAAAACUGCACACAACAAUGAAUGGAUAAGGAGGUUCAAUGUUGCCAAGGAGGUGGGUGCUAGAGUGGAAGUCACUUAUUUGUAAUAUGCAGAUGAUACCCUGAUUUUCUGUGAAGCUGAAGAUAGCCGACUGAAUUUUUUAAGGAUAAUCUUAAUACCGUUUGAGUCUGGAUUUGGUCUUCACAUCAAUUGGAGGAAGAGUCAUAUCUUCCCAAUCAAUUAAGUUCCCAAGAUACAACAACUUACAACAACUUCCAGACAUUUUGGGUGGGGAAAUUGGACAGCUUCCAGCUCUCUACCUGGGCAUGCCUUUAGGUGCCAAAAGCAAAUCAAAAGAGAUUUGGAAUGGAGUUGUGGAGAGAUGUGAAAAGAGAUUGUCUAGAUGGAAGUCCCAUUAUUUAUCCAGAGGUGGCAUAUUAGUUUUGAUCAACUCAGUCUUAGAUGCUCUCUCUACUUACUUGAUGUUAGUGUACCCCAUUUCGGUCAAAGUGGAAGAAAGAAUUGAUGCUUUGAGGAGAAAUUUUUUGUGGCAUGGUGAGAAGGAAUACAAAGGAUUCCAUUUCUCAAAUGGAAAACCUUACUACGGGCAAAAAAUUAGGGAGGUUUGGCCAUCAGGAAUCUGGGAAAACAUAAUAGGAGCCUUCUCAUGAAAUGGCUAUGAAGGUUCCCAAAAGAAGAACAAACUCUAUGGUAUAAGGUGAUCCAAGCUAAAUAUGGAAAAGAAGGGCCUUGGAAAACAAAGGAAGUCAACUCAACAUACGGGACUAGUAUAUGGAGAUCAAUCAGGAAUUUAUGGCCUGGAUUCUAUGUGAAAACAAAUUUCAGUAUGAACAAUGGCCGGAAGAUUAGGUUUUGGGAAGAUAACUGGUUUGGGAGUGGAAGUCUCAAACUUCUAUUCCCAGNNNNNNNNNNNNNNNUGAACCAACGACAGAUGUCCACAAUUCAGGAAGUCUGGUCUUAACAUGGUUGGAACCUGACCUACAGAAGAUUAAUAGAAGAUUAAUACAGGACUGGGAGAUGGAGAGACUAGCUGAAUUUUAUGGCACACUUGAUCAGUUCAUAGGCCUAAAGGAAAGGGAAGACACUCUUAGAUGGAAAUGCAAUAGCAAAGUUUGUUCACUAUCGGCUCCGCCUAUAAAGAUAUUAGCCAGAUGGGAACCCAAGUUAAUUUUCUACCUUGGAAACUCAUAUGGAAGGUGAAAAUCCCUUACAAAGGGACAGCUUUCACCUAGUUGGUGGUGAAAGAGGUUGUUCUUACACAGGAAAAUCUCAUGAAGAAAGGAAUACAUAUGUGUCCAAGGUGUUUCUUUUGCGAGCAGCAUGCAGAGAGCCAGAGACAACAAAUCAUCUGUUUCCACACUGUAAAGUGGUUGGUCUAGUUGUGGAAUUUGUUUACCAGCUUUAGGGGUAUUUGUUGGACUGUACCUGAGAGAAUAGGACAAGCUCUAGUAAGCUGGAACAUGGAGGGCAGUGGCAGCAUAGAUAGGAACAGAUGGAGAAUUGUCCCAAUAAUAAUAUGGUGGACUAUAUGGAAGGAGAGAAACUCUAGGUGUUUUGAAAAUAAGAGUAGCUCGCUGCACAAUAUCAAAAUGGACUGCAUUAUCACUUUUUGCUAUUGGUGUAGUUCUGAGUAUAUAAAUGACCCUGUGGCUAUCAUAGACAUACUAGUUUUCUUGUAAGAUGAAAUAGGAUCUAGUAAUAGUUUCUUCUUUUCCUUUUCUUUUUGGAUGUCUGAUCAUACAAAUUGGAUGUAGGCUGGGUUGUAAAUUUUUUUAGUCCAGCCUUCGAGCUGAUGAUUAAUAUACAAAUGUUCCCUUUGUCAAAAAGGAGUCGAGUACAUGCUCCUACUUAUAGGAGAUGAAUACAAUGUAGUUGUAGAGUCCUAGACUACUUACAAGAGUCCUAACUAUGCCAAUAUUGAAGACUUAAUAGUUGUAUCACUAGGCACCUACAUAUACAAGUAGAUGCUUACUACUACUAGAAUAUUGGUACAAUUAAAGAUGCAAAGCAUAGGCUAACUCUAACUCUACUAACUCUAACAAAAUCAGCUACUCUAACAGAAUCAGCGAAUGUACACUCUCCUUCUCUUUAAUUUGAUCAUUAUAUUCAACACUUCCCCUCAAGCUAGUGAGUAGUGGAACACUCCCUCCUAGCUUGCUUCUGAAAUCAGCAAACACUUGCUUUGUCAAGGCCUUUGUAUGACUGUCAGCUAGGUGAUCUCUAGACUUGACGAACUGUGUGAGUGAGUAGCUAUCCUUUGGAUACUUUUUCUCGAACAAAAUGGUAGUCCAUUUCUACAUGCUUUGUUCUAGCAUGCAUCACUCGAUUAACUGUCAAGUACAAGGCAUUUAAAUUGUCACAAUACAGUAUAGGCACUGUCUUGGGAUAUACUCCAAUGUCAUGAAGUUUAAGGAUCCAUGUCAUUUCAGCUGUAGUAGAAGCUAAGGCACUAUAUUCAACUUCAGCACUGGACCUUGCCACUGUGGUUUGUUUCUAAGAGGUCCAAGAGAUACAAUUUGCACCUAAGUAGAUGCUGUAACCUGUAGUUGACCUCCUAGUUGUAGUGCAGCCUCCCCAAUCAACAUUCGAAUAGCCAUAUAACCUGCAGGGUGAUUGUGAGAUAAUUCUGAGCCCAUGAUGUAAAGUUCCUCUGAUGUACCUGAGGAUCCUUUUAAUACCUUGGAGAUGUUCACUAUUUGGACUCUGCAUGAAUUGACUAGCUAGAUUUACUGCAUGAGUGAUGUCAGGCCUUGUGAGUGUCAAAUACUGAAGACUUCCCACUAUCCUUCCAUAAUAGGGCUUCCAACAGCUUCAUGUAAGCCAUGUUUCUGUGCAAGAGGUGUAUUCAUUGCUUUUGCCCGAGUCAUAUUAGGCAACUCAGUAGUAUAGUAGCAUACUUCCCUCAAUUCUAGUGCAGUCCAGUCCACCUGGGAAGUACUUAACCUCAAUUCCUAGAAAGAAAUGUAAAGGACCAAGAUCUUUCAUAGAGAAUUCUCUCCCAAGUUUAGCAGCAACCACCUCUGAGACAUGCUUUUGAUCACUUCCUGUGAUUAUUAUAUCACCCACAUAUAGUAAUAAUAAGAUAGUCCCUCUGUUACCAUGCAAAGUAAACGAAGAGGGAUCUGCUUUACUACAAGUGAAACCAAGGUGAAGCUAAUACAGACUGAAUCUGUCAAAUCUUGCUCUAGGUGCCUGUUUAAGACCAUACGAUGCCUUCUUUAACAAACAAACAUGAGUUGGAUACAGAUACCUGGGUUAAAUGAAUCCUGGAGGUUGACUCAUGUAUACUUCUUCAUGUAAGUGGCCAUGUAGAAAUGUGUUUUUGACAUCAAGUUGUCUGAUAUGCCAUUUUGAAGCACCAACUACUGACAGAACGACUCUAAUGGUUGUAGCCUUAACCAUAGGACUGAAUGUUUCUUCAAAGUCCAUUCCUUCAAUUCGAGAGAAACCCCUAGCAACAAGCGUUGCUUUGUACAUGUCAACUGCUCCAUUUGCAUGUAGUUUAGUCUUAAACACCCAUUUGGAGCCAACCAAGUUGAUACUUGCAUGUUUAGGUACUAGUAUCCAGGUCUUGUUAUUGUGUAGAGCAUUUAUCUCAUCCUGCUUAGUUGCAAACCCACGUGGUGUCUUCAGUGCUUCAUUUGUUGAUUUUGGUUCCCUUAUGAUCUAUUCUUUACUUGCAACAAGAGAUAGGUAAGGUAAAGCAGCUGAUGUUGCCUUUAUUUGGUGAUCGUGUGAUGUCUUUGUGGUUCUAGUGUAUCUGAGUUGCACUAUCUUCUAUAGGUGUUGCACUUGCACUAUCAUCUUGUGGAUUAGACACUGAGAGUAAUGCAGGUUGUGGCAUGCUAGGUGGCUCAGAAGCAUCUUCUAUUGCUUCAACAUUUGAGAUGUCAAGCAUUUCAGAAGGCUCAUUUGCAGAUAUGGAACUAGGAUCUCUGUCAUCAUCAACAAAAGUGGUUAGAACAGGAUUAUCUGGUGUUGUUUGGUUAUCAAGAGUUGGCAACACAGGCUCAACAAGUGUUGGUUGAUCAACUACAUGAGUAGCUUGAUCCUCAACAAUUGGUUGAGUAGCUUGAUUCACCACAGCUGGCAACAAUUCCCCUGGAGUGACUUUAUUAGAAUCAUGUGCCUGCAAGUUAGUAAAAAACUCAACAAAAGUAGCUAGGUGAGGUGAGACAUCAGCUUUAGCUUGAGACUGUAUUGGUUGUACAUAAGGUAACAUACACUCAUAAAAAAUGACAUGCCUUGACAUAUAGACUCUCCUUGUUGGAGGAGGAUAGCGUCUAUAUCCUUUAUGUAGACUGCUGUAUCCUAUAAAAACACAUGGAUAAGACUUUAGGCUAAACUUGGUAUCACCCUUAAUGUGCGAAAAACAUAUACAUCCAAACACCUUCCAGCUGUUAUGGUCAGGUUGUGCACCAUAUAACUUGACAAAAGGAGUUGCCUUUUUUAGUACCGAGGAAGACAAUCUAUUAAUGAGGAACUCAACAGUUAAGAAGGCCUCUACCAAUAGAAAUAGAGGUAGGUUAGCAUGAAGUAGCAUAGUAAGUCCAGUCUUAACUAUGUGCCUGUGUUUUCUUUUAGAAAUUCCAUUCUGUUCAGGUGUAUUAGGACAAGAGAUGUGUCUGACAAUACCACAACUUUCUAGAUGCUUAAUGAAUUCUGUUAUGAUGAACUCACCACCUCCAUCACAUUGAAAAAUCUUAAUAACUUUAGAGAGCGGCCUUUCUACCAUUUUUUGGAACUUGAGAAAUACAUCAGCAAAUUCAGAUUUCUUUUUUAAUGGAUAAAGCCAUCUGUAUCUUGUGUUAUCAUCUACAAACACUACAUAAUAUCUCAUGUGUUGAGUAGAUUCAACAGGUGCAGGACCCCAAAUAUUACAAUGAAUUUUCAAUAACGAUUCCUUCUCGAUUUUAUUCCACAAGCCAAAGGCUAGUUUACAACCUUUUCCUAACUGACAACUAGAGCAGACAGUAUGGAUUCUAUUCCAACUACUAACAUUAAUGCAACUAUUACUACUCAAAAUUCUUUAAAAUCUUCAAACUAGGAUGUCCUAAUCUAUUAUGCCAAAUAUUGUUUGAGGUUUUUCAGUCUUGUAUGGCAAUCAAUGCAUAGAGAUUGUUAUCUUUCAAGGCAUAAAGUCCAUCUCUUUUAGAUCCCUUGACCAGUAGCGUCUUUGUCUUAUUGUCUUGUACAACAAAAUCAGUUUCAUCAAAUUCAAGAGUGCAGGAAUUAUCUUUUGCAAUUUUACUAACUGAGAGCAGAUUUUUAGCAAUCUUAGGUACUACAAGAACUUUUUGUAAUUUCAUCCCUGAUCUGACUGCAUUGCCAACAUGUGUAAUAUCUAAUUGAGAUCCAUUUCCAACAAUGAUCUUAUCAGAACCUUUAUAAUGUUUAAGAUCAGAUAGAGUACUUGAGUUGUUUGUCAUGUGACUCUGGUAGCACCUGAGUCCACAUACAAAGUAUCAUCACCACUUGAUGAAUUUGCAAAUUCACAGUAGCAAGUGCUUGUGCAAGUUCAUCUGCAGCCUGUAAGAAUAGUGCGGCCGGGUAAGAAUAGUCCCACCUGCAAACACUUAAGAGCAGUGUGGUUAUUCCUACCACAAAUUUGACAUGACUCAGUUGCAUUCUUCUCCUUAUUCUGAUUUCCAUUUUGAUUUCCACCAGUCUAAUUAUAUGGUGCAGCAGGUCUAAAACCCCUUCCUCUGGAGUUAAAGUUGUUAUUUCCUUUUCCUCGGGAAAAAUUUCCUCUUCCUCUGCCUCUUUGACUUGAGGCAACAUAGAAUGCCAUGUUGGAGUUUGGUUGUGGCACCUUUUCUUCAUCCUCCCUCAUGUCAAAACCCCUUAGUGCAUUAAUAAACUGAUUUAGUGUAGGAUAGGGUGCCUUACCUAACAUGACAGUCCUGAAUGUCUUGUAUUUGAGACCUAAGCCUCUAACAAAGUCGAUAACGUUACUGUCCUCAUCAACAAGCUUGUGUAUAGCUGCAUGUCCAUCACAUAUGUCUUUGAUGCCUUUGAACUCUGAUGUAUUCAUCUACCUUCUUAUUUCCCGGCCUAACACACUGCAAUUGUUGUUUGAGGUGAAAUUCUUUGUCCUUUGUUGCCUGAAGAUAGGCUUCUUACCUGAGAUCCAACUCCUCAGCAGUACAUCUUUCUCUUCCUAGUCAUCAAUGUUUUUACCAUCUUCUUCAUCUUUCUCAGUACUUGUGACCACAGCUUUCUCAGCAGCCUUUCCAGUAGUUGGCUCAUUCACAGUUGGUUCCUUCUCCUUGAUGAGAUAAGUUAAUCUCAUGACUUGGAUCAACUGCAUUAUUUGUGUCCUCCAUAUGAGAUAAUUUGUUGGUUUAAGUUUAAUAGAACAGGAAGCAAUGAGGGUGAAGAGAAGAAGUGGAAAGAGAAUUGGCAGAGGAUGUAGAAUGAGCCAUCUCAGGGUUUGAGAUGUUCAGUUCUUGGUUUUAAUAUUUAAUCAGCGGAAAGAGCUUAAUUCUCUGAUACCAUGUAGAAUUCUCAAGCACACUGAACAGAAUCAAAGUAUAGUUCUUAUUAUUAAGGAGUUGAGUAGAUGCUCCUGCUCAUAGGAGUUGAAUACAAUGUAGUUGUAGAGUCAUAGACUACUUACAAAAGUCCUAGCUAUGCCAA